CUGUGGUCUUGUGCUCUUCACUUGAGUUACUCUGUUUUGUGCUUUUCAAAAACUGUUUCUUGAUUGUAGGUCAAGAAGCUAUACAAGAAGCCGAAGCAGAGGCUGGUAUAGUAGAGAUCGUUCAAGAAGUCGAAGUAGUUCCUACCACAGUUACAAGAGUCGUAGGUAAGUUUCUCUAAUUGUUAAUUUUGAGGUGCGUUACCAAACCAGUAAAUGGUGCCCAGAACUCUGAUGCUUCAGUCUCUGAGCAAAUUGGAAAUGGGCUUAGCUGUGCAUGCUGCUGCCUGAAGCAUCUGCUUGAAACAUGCAAGUUAAAACAAUCAGAUUUUGAAAUAUCCUGUUACUGAAAAAGGAAUUGUAUUUCAUGUUUUACAGUGUGAGUAAGGAAUUCUGAGAAAAUCAUGUUCCCAUCCUCUUUCCCCCUCUUCCCUGUUCAGCACUUGUUCUUGAUUAACUUAACACAAAGCAUUUUGUUUUUGUUUGUCAGUCGAACCUAUAGUAGAAGCAGAUCAAGAAGUAGUUCCUAUGGUCAUCACAGCCGAUCCAGUAGGUCAUACACGUAUGAUAGUUACUAUAGCAGAAGCCGAAGUAGAAGUAAAAGGAGUGACAGCUAUCGGAGAUCUAGAAGUUACGAUAGGCGAUCCAGGUAUGUUACUUGCUUGCAUGUCUCUCAUACCAUAUUAAUGCAAAAGAAUUUGCAAAGUACGUACUUAAGUUCAUGA
This 722-nucleotide long non-coding RNA is filed under the name Anas platyrhynchos (mallard). RNAcentral's name for it is "lncRNA (ENSAPLG00020002914.1)". The record is from RNAcentral. Lineage: Eukaryota; Metazoa; Chordata; Aves; Anseriformes; Anatidae.